RNAcentral lists this transfer RNA (75 nucleotides) under bacterium. RNAcentral's name for it is "tRNA-Met". It matches the Rfam family "tRNA". Rfam says of the family: Transfer RNA (tRNA) molecules are approximately 80 nucleotides in length. Their secondary structure includes four short double-helical elements and three loops (D, anti-codon, and T loops). The record is from RNAcentral.
AGCGGGGUGGAGAAAUGGUAUCUCGCCAGGCUCAUAACCUGGAGAUUGCACGUUCGACUCGUGCCCCCGCUACAA